Molecule: transfer RNA, 85 nt
Filed under: Chloroflexota bacterium
Lineage: Bacteria; Bacillati; Chloroflexota
Also listed under: 1 other name
Description: Chloroflexi bacterium tRNA-Leu
Rfam family: tRNA
About the family: Transfer RNA (tRNA) molecules are approximately 80 nucleotides in length. Their secondary structure includes four short double-helical elements and three loops (D, anti-codon, and T loops).
Source: RNAcentral
GGGGGAGUGGCGGAACUGGCAGACGCGCAUGACUUAGGAUCAUGUCUCUCACGAGGUGAGGGUUCGAGUCCCUCCUUCCCCACAA